UGAAGCGCUAAACCCAAACGACGAACAAACGUGUUUCUGAAAGUACUUAUACACACUUGCAAAAGAAGAGGUGAAGGUGGACUUGGACUACUUAGAGUGCAAGUAGUGUGUUUUGUGUGUAACAAGCGUGCUGUACUGAUAGUGCUCGUGUGUUCUCGACUUGAUGGACUUUCGGAGAUAGAAACAACAGCCUGGACCACAACGACGACUGACACAUCAACAAUCAUAUUAUUGUCAUUGUUGAUUUGCUCAUCAUAAUCGUAUUCGUCAUUAAGUGUACCUACAACUCGUGUAGUCUUGCCCGUUACUUUUUCGUACAUUUAUUAAUUUUACCAUUAGAUUGUGUUUUUGCACGUCGCGGGUGUUUUAAUAAACAAAACAAAACAAAGAAGACAUCGUUUAAAGAACACUACGACAUAAAUAAAUAUUAUUGAACAGAGGAUAACGACGACAACAACCGGACAGCAUAUUAGGCACGAUGGACGCGGACGAGCUGGAUCAGCGGAUGAUGCAGUCGUUCCGCUGCCUCGGCGUCGCUGACAAGGUCGACCUGGUGAAGCAGCUCAAGGCGGUGGCGGGCAGCCACCUUAACGACUCCGUGGCCCUGUUUUUCCUGGAGAUGAACGACUGGAAUGUCCAAGCAGCAAUUGGUAGUUAUUUUGACUUUGAAGCGACGCGCAAGCUCCCCUGUAUGACGCUUGUUUGUGAUUCAACGAUUGGCGAGGGAGAAGACGUUCCACCACUCACAAAAUUCAGAAAAACGUGGCGUAUUCAAAAUAGUGGCACUGAAGAUUGGCCUGAGGGUGUGUGUCUUACGUUUACAAAUGGUGAACGAAUGGGAGAUUGCACAAGUGUGCCGGUACCUUGUUUACCAGCCAAAGACUCAAUAGAAAUCAGUAUUGAUUUCGUAAGUCCUCCAAGCGAAGGGCUUUACCAAAGCAAGUGGAGGAUGACCACAUCAAAUGGUUCCUUCUUUGGGGACGUCAUAUGGGUGAUAAUAACAGUGGAAAAAGGUGGUACCUUGGCACUAACUCAGCAACUUCACCUAUUAAGUACUUCACAAGCGACAGAUGAACAGAUGUGAUAGCCAUAGCUAACAAUGAUUGUUGCGCGAUAAGACGAUUCUAAAUUUUUUUAAAUACUACAGUUAUGCAGUUUCGGGAAUGGUCUUGGUUCACGAGAGAUUUGUUGUUUCAAUGGCUCCUUAUGAUUGAGAUACACAUGACAAUC
This 1230-nucleotide unclassified non-coding RNA is filed under the name Copidosoma floridanum. RNAcentral describes it as "uncharacterized protein C6orf106 homolog, transcript variant X1". Lineage: Eukaryota; Metazoa; Arthropoda; Insecta; Hymenoptera; Encyrtidae. The record is from RNAcentral.